GGGUUGUGAGGUUAAGCGACUAAGCGUACACGGUGGAUGCCCUGGCAGUCAGAGGCGAUGAAGGACGUGCUAAUCUGCGAUAAGCGCCGGUAAGGUGAUAUGAACCGUUAUAACCGGCGAUUUCCGAAUGGGGAAACCCAGUGUGACUCGUCACACUAUCAUUAACUGAAUCCAUAGGUUAAUGAG
This 186-nucleotide ribosomal RNA is filed under the name Salmonella enterica subsp. enterica serovar Schwarzengrund. Its description in RNAcentral is "partial 23S ribosomal RNA". It matches the Rfam family "Bacterial large subunit ribosomal RNA", at positions 1 to 178 of the family's 2925-position model. Lineage: Bacteria; Pseudomonadati; Pseudomonadota; Gammaproteobacteria; Enterobacterales; Enterobacteriaceae. The record is from RNAcentral.